CACGCNGUAAACGAUGAGUGCUAGGUGUUAGGCCCUUUCCGGGGCUUAGUGCCGGAGCUAACGCAAUAAGCACUCCGCCUGGGGAGUACGACCGCAAGGUUGAAACUCAAAGGAAUUGACGGGGGCCCGCACAAGCGGUGGAGCAUGUGGUUUAAUUCGAAGCAACGCGAAGAACCUUACCAGGUCUUGACAUCCCGAUGCUAUUCUUAGAGAUAGGAAGUUACUUCGGUACAUCGGAGACAGGUGGUGCAUGGUUGUCGUCAGCUCGUGUCGUGAGAUGUUGGGUUAAGUCCCGCAACGAGCGCAACCCUUAUUGUUAGUUGCCAUCAUUAAGUUGGGCACUCUAGCGAGACUGCCGGUAAUAAACCGGAGGAAGGUGGGGAUGACGUCAAAUCAUCAUGCCCCUUAUGACCUGGGCUACACACGUGCUACAAUGGUCGGUACAACGAGUUGCGAGCCGGUGACGGCAAGCUAAUCUCUGAAAGCCGAUCUCAGUUCGGAUUGGAGGCUGCAACUCGCCUCCAUGAAGUCGGAAUCGCUAGUAAUCGCGGAUCAGCACGCCGCGGUGAAUACGUUCCCGGGCCUUGUACACACCGCCCGUCACACCACGAGAGUUUGUAACACCCGAANU
This 631-nucleotide ribosomal RNA is filed under the name uncultured bacterium. RNAcentral's name for it is "bacterial SSU rRNA". It matches the Rfam family "Bacterial small subunit ribosomal RNA", at positions 796 to 1427 of the family's 1533-position model. The record is from RNAcentral.